UGCAGGCUGCAACUCGCCUGCAUGAAGUCGGAAUUGCUAGUAAUCGUAGGUCAGCAUACUACGGUGAAUACGUUCCCCGGGGCCCUUGUACACACCGCCCGUCAAACCAUGAGAGUUGGCAACACCCGAAGUCGGUAGUCUAACCGCAAGGAGGACGCCGCCGAAGGUGGGGGUUGAUGAUUAGGGUUAAGUCGUAACAAGGUACC
This 206-nucleotide ribosomal RNA is filed under the name uncultured bacterium. RNAcentral describes it as "partial 16S ribosomal RNA". It matches the Rfam family "Bacterial small subunit ribosomal RNA", at positions 1299 to 1500 of the family's 1533-position model. The record is from RNAcentral.